RNAcentral lists this ribosomal RNA (468 nucleotides) under uncultured bacterium. Its description in RNAcentral is "partial 16S ribosomal RNA". It matches the Rfam family "Bacterial small subunit ribosomal RNA", at positions 28 to 507 of the family's 1533-position model. The record is from RNAcentral.
GACGAACGCUGGCGGCGUGCUUAACACAUGCAAGUCGAACGGAAAGGCACUGCUUUUGUGGGGUGCUCGAGUGGCGAACGGGUGAGUAACACGUGAGUAACCUGCCCUUGACUUUGGGAUAACUUCAGGAAACUGGGGCUAAUACCGGAUAGGAGCUCCUGCUGCAUGGUGGGGGUUGGAAAGUUUCGGCGGUUGGGGAUGGACUGGCGGCUUAUCAGCUUGUUGGUGGGGUAGUGGCUUACCAAGGCUUUGACGGGUAGCCGGCCUGAGAGGGUGACCGGCCACAUUGGGACUGAGAUACGGCCCAGACUCCUACGGGAGGCAGCAGUGGGGAAUAUUGCACAAUGGGCGGAAGCCUGAUGCAGCAACGCCGCGUGCGGGAUGACGGCCUUCGGGUUGUAAACCGCUUUCGCCUGUGACGAAGCGUGAGUGACGGUAAUGGGUAAAGAAGCACCGGCUAACUACGUG